RNAcentral lists this long non-coding RNA (1559 nucleotides) under Equus caballus (horse). Its description in RNAcentral is "lncRNA (ENSECAG00000049739.1)". The record is from RNAcentral. Lineage: Eukaryota; Metazoa; Chordata; Mammalia; Perissodactyla; Equidae.
GUAAAAGGCUCCCCGCGCGCGGCCUCCCCCGCCCCUCCCCUCCCCCCGCCGGCGCGCUCACCGCCCCGCAGACAAAUCACCGGGUGACAAAUCGCUCUCAGAUGCAAAUACCUCGCCGGUGAUUCAGCGCCGCGGCCCGGGACGCGGGGAGGGGUCUCGGGAGGCCCCCUCCCCCUUCCCCGAAGCCCCCUCGCGCCCCGCGCUCGGUCCGGCGACGCGCCACCGGCCCCGGGGCUGUUGGGGAGGGGGGGGAAGACUGGACGGAAAUUUUCAAGUCGCGGCCCCUUUAAAUGAUAAUAAAUAAUAAAAGGAAGGGGAACAGCGACGCGGGACGCCCCGCCCCCUGCCUAGGGAAGGUGGGCAAAGUGCGCGCCGCGGCCCCGAGCGCACAGGGCGCCCAGGGCGCGGGCGGGGCUGGGAGCGCCCGCGGGGGAGGGGAGGGGGGCUGGGCCUCCGCCCGGGCGGCCGGGGAAGGGUGGGGGCCUCGAGCCGGGUCGACGACCCCCUCCCCCAUCUCACCGAGCACCUAGGAGGGGCCUGCCGGGCUCGGAGUUUCACCCCUGCCCCUUAGACGCGGCGCCCGGCAGCCGAGCCCCGGUUUGCAGUCGCACCUCCGGGCCUUUGCACUGGCUGUUCCCGCUGCCUGAACCGCCCUCCCCGGGUCACCCCAUGGCCGGUGCCUUCUCCCGACUCAAACUGGAACGUCCGCCCCUCGGAGCGCCCCCCCACGACCUCCCAGAGUCCCCAUCACCCCAUCACGCCGCCCUCCUUUAUCUCCAUCGAAAGGCUUCUGUUUCAAAACAGCUCUAUUUACUUAACCUACUUGGCCCUGCUGGCGGCUGGGUCCCCAGCCUUGAGGCUGGCCUGGUACACAGUGGAGCUCAAUACAUGUUGUUUGAUGGAUGAAUCCGUGUGUCCCCGCCCCUCCUCCUUCCUCCCACGGGAUUUUGGGUGUCUGUCUACACAGAGGUGCAGGGCAAACCGAACUACUCGCCAUCUCGGUGUCCCAAAGCAAAAAAGCCCGGAGCGGGGUUGCUGGGCGCCCCUUGACCCGGUAACCCCCGCCCUCUGCUGUCACCCGUGCUACCUCCAGGUUGCCUGUCGCUGGGAGCCAGGGUCCGGGAGAAUGUCAUCCUAACUUCUUUGAAAAUGAGAAGAAAAAAAUAAUUGUAGCCUCUCCUGCAGAGCCGUCUCCCUCGUUCCCUUCACCAGCUGCCCCGACAGUAACUCAGCAGCGUUUUGCAAAACCGCGGCACGGCAUGGCCACCAGGAGGCCCACACUGAGGCCACCCUCCCAUCUGACCCGGAUCUUCUUUUCCUGGGACCUCUGCUACCCAGAUGGAACCAGACAUCGUGUCACCCGUGGGUCCUUCACGCUCGCCGAGAUUCCCGGAGAGCCACGUGGGGUGUUGUGUGUGUCUGUGGUGUGUUCUUGACCUUGUGCUGCUGAGCGGUGCUCCGUGGGGUGCAUGCACCACAGCGGGUUUCACCCCCCACCUGCCGAAGGACGCCUGGGGUGUCCCCAGUUUGGGGCUUUUGAUAAUAAAGCUGCUGCCGAC